AGAUACCCUGGUAGUCCACGCCCUAAACGAUGUCAACUAGGUGUUGGGAAGGAGACUUCUUUAGUACCGCAGCUAACGCGUGAAGUUGACCGCCUGGGGGAGUACGGUCGCAAGAUUAAAACUCAAAGGAAUUGACGGGGACCCGCACAAGCGGUGGAUUAUGUGGAUUAAUUCGAUGCAACGCGAAAAACCUUACCUACCCUUGACAUGUCAGAAAGAUUGCAGAGAUGUGAUUGUGCCCGAAAGGGAAUCUGAACACAGGUGCUGCAUGGCUGUCGUCAGCUCGUGUCGUGAGAUGUUGGGUUAAGUCCCGCAACGAGCGCAACCCUUAUCAUUAAUUGCCAUCAUUUAGUUGGGCACUUUAAUGAGACUGCCGGUGAUAAACCGGAGGAAGGUGGGGAUGACGUCAAGUCCUCAUGGCCCUUAUGGGUAGGGCUUCACACGUAAUACAAUGGUCGGUACAGAGGGUUGCCAACCCGCGAGGGGGAGCUAAUCUCAGAAAGCCGAUCGUAGUCCGGAUCGGAGUCUGCAACUCGACUCCGUGAAGUCGGAAUCGCUAGUAAUCGCGGAUCAGCAUGUCGCGGUGAAUACGUUCCCGGGUCUUGUACACACCGCCCGUCACACCAUGGGAGUGGAAUCUGCCAGAAGUAGUUAGCCUAACCGCAAGGAGGGCGA
Molecule: ribosomal RNA, 675 nt
Filed under: uncultured bacterium
Lineage: Bacteria
Description: bacterial SSU rRNA
Rfam family: Bacterial small subunit ribosomal RNA
Source: RNAcentral